Molecule: non-coding RNA, 741 nt
Organism: Ciona intestinalis (vase tunicate)
Lineage: Eukaryota; Metazoa; Chordata; Ascidiacea; Phlebobranchia; Cionidae
Source: RefSeq, a predicted model, not a curated record
ACGAGAAAAGUCUCGAAAAAAAGAGGCAUUUCACAGCUCGCGUGUCAGUUCAUAUUUAGCUUUGAGGUUGCGGAUGCUUGUUUUACUAUUUGCAGUGAGGUUUUAUACAAUGUUAAGUUAUAAACUAGUUGAAUAUAUAUGGUUUUCAACCAAAUACGAAGUUUCAGCUAGAAAUAAUAAGUUUUUCUAUCUUUAGAAUGCAUUUAGUAUAAGAAAUAGUACCGUAUAUAGUUUGUACAGGAUGCUUCUAGUUUGGCAAUGAGAAAGGAAGUGUGCAACUGCUACUGUACAAUCAAUAAUAAAACUGUUGUAAUUCAGAUUCAGUUGAAAUAAUGAAUUUUUAACUAAAAAUUUGGUACCAGUGAAGAAUCCUCCCUUUCACAUUCUCUUGAUAAGGCGUUAGUGGUUAGGGAGAGUAUUCUUCACUAGCACCAAUAAAUUGUAUGUUGAAAUAUUAACUUAGAAAUAAUGAUCAAAAUGGAUGGUGGACAGCAGCACAUUAAAUUUGUGUCUUGACCACUCUACUGGACCAAGAGUUUGUAGAAGAAAAAUUGUCGACAACACCGGUACAUUUAGAAGCAAGAUAGAAACCAAAAGAGUGUGAGAAUUACAUGUAUCAGUUUGGAUAUACAUUCAUCAAUAAGCUACAGAGUGGUUUGUAAACCCAUCAUUUGAAGAAAAGACAACAUACAUAACAUAAUACACAGUACUGACAUUAUACAUAGUACUGGGCUGCUGAAU